CCUACGGGAGGCAGCAGUGGGGAAUUUUCCGCAAUGGGCGAAAGCCUGACGGAGCAAUACCGCGUGAGGGAAGACUGCCUAUGGGUUGUAAACCUCUUUUUUCAGGGAGGAAUAAAUGACGUGUACCUGAAGAAUAAGCAUCGGCUAACUCCGUGCCAGCAGCCGCGGUAAU
RNAcentral lists this ribosomal RNA (172 nucleotides) under uncultured cyanobacterium. RNAcentral's name for it is "partial 16S ribosomal RNA". It matches the Rfam family "Bacterial small subunit ribosomal RNA", at positions 338 to 524 of the family's 1533-position model. Lineage: Bacteria; Bacillati; Cyanobacteriota. The record is from RNAcentral.